This 412-nucleotide ribosomal RNA is filed under the name Bacillota bacterium. Its description in RNAcentral is "Firmicutes bacterium partial 16S ribosomal RNA". It matches the Rfam family "Bacterial small subunit ribosomal RNA", at positions 355 to 776 of the family's 1533-position model. The record is from RNAcentral. Lineage: Bacteria; Bacillati; Bacillota.
UGGGGAAUCUUGCACAAUGGGCGGAAGCCUGAUGCAGCGACGCCGCGUGGGGGAUGACGGCCUUCGGGUUGUAAACUCCUUUCGCCAGGGACGAAGCCGUGAGGUGACGGUACCUGGAUAAGAAGCACCGGCUAACUACGUGCCAGCAGCCGCGGUAAUACGUAGGGUGCGAGCGUUGUCCGGAAUUACUGGGUGUAAAGAGCUCGUAGGUGGUUUGUCGCGUCGUCUGUGAAAUUCCGGGGCUUAACUCCGGGCGUGCAGGCGAUACGGGCAUAACUUGAGUGCUGUAGGGGAGACUGGAAUUCCUGGUGUAGCGGUGAAAUGCGCAGAUAUCAGUGGAAACACCGAUGGCGAAGGCAGGUCUCUGGGCAGUAACUGACGCUGAGGAGCGAAAGCAUGGGUAGCGAACAGG